GUAGGGAAUAUUGGGCAAUGGAUGCAAGUCUGACCCAGCCAUCCCGCGUGCCGGAAGAAGGCCCUCAGGGUUGUAAACGGCUUUUGACGGUGAAGAAUCGACAGGAUGCGUCCUGUUUUGACGGUAGCCGUUGAAUAAGCACCGGCUAACACCGGUCCAGCAGCCGCGGUAAUACGGAGGGUGCGAGCGUUGUCCGGAUUUAUUGGGUUUAAAGGGUGCGUAGGCUGGAUGGUCAGUCAGCGGUGAAAAGCUGUCGCUUAACGAUAGUCUUGCCGCAGAUACUUCCUUUCUUGGAUGAGGAGGAGGCCACUGGAACGGAUGGUGUAGCGGUGAAAUGCAUAGAUAUCAUCCAGAACACCGAUUGCGAAGGCAGGUGGCUGUACCUUAAUCGACGCUGAUGCACGAAAGCAUGGGGAGCAAACAGGAUUAGAAACCCCAGUAGUCC
Molecule: ribosomal RNA, 445 nt
Filed under: uncultured bacterium
Lineage: Bacteria
Description: partial 16S ribosomal RNA
Rfam family: Bacterial small subunit ribosomal RNA
Source: RNAcentral